UACGUAGGGUGCGAGCGUUGUCCGGAAUUAUUGGGCGUAAAGAGCUUGUAGGCGGUUUGUCGCGUCUGCUGUGAAAAUCCGGGGCUCAACCCCGGACUUGCAGUGGGUACGGGCAGACUAGAGUGUGGUAGGGGAGACUGGAAUUCCUGGUGUAGCGGUGAAAUGCGCAGAUAUCAGGAGGAACACCGGUGGCGAAGGCGGAUCUCUGGGCCAGUACUGACACUGGAGGAGCGGAAAAGCGUGGGGAGCGAACAGG
RNAcentral lists this ribosomal RNA (256 nucleotides) under uncultured bacterium. RNAcentral's name for it is "partial 16S ribosomal RNA". It matches the Rfam family "Bacterial small subunit ribosomal RNA", at positions 524 to 776 of the family's 1533-position model. The record is from RNAcentral.